UACGAAGGGAGCUAGCGUUGGUCGGGCUUACUGGGCGUAAAGGGCGCGUAGGCGGUUUAGUAAGUCAGAUGUGAAAGCCCCGGGCUUAACCUGGGAACAGCAUUUGAUACUGCUAGACUAGAGAUCGAAAGAGGAGAGUGGAAUUGCGAGUGUAGAGGUGAAAUUCGUAGAUAUUCGCAGGAACACCAGUGGCGAAGGCGACUCUCUGGUUCGAUACUGACGCUAAGGCGCGAAAGCGUGGGGAGCAAACAGG
RNAcentral lists this ribosomal RNA (253 nucleotides) under uncultured bacterium. RNAcentral's name for it is "partial 16S ribosomal RNA". It matches the Rfam family "Bacterial small subunit ribosomal RNA", at positions 524 to 776 of the family's 1533-position model. The record is from RNAcentral.